CGGGCCCAAAUAGACCUGCUGUGUAAGCCACUAGUCCCACCACAACAUAUGGUCAUGUUCCAUUGGGGAGGGCAUGAGACUGAGGUCUUCAUCCCACAUCUUUUGCAUCCCAUGGGAGGAAGGGAGAAACUGAGGCACAGAGCGUCAAAGUGAUUUGACGGAGGUCACCUAAUAGCCCAGUGCCGGAACUGGGCACAGAACCCCGCACUUCCCAGUGGGUCACACUGCUGCUUGAACUGUUUCAACGACUCAAAAUUGAAGUGCUUAAUAAAGGAAAGAGAAAGAAUUUUGAUGCUACCGACUGUUAAGCAAUUUAAGCUCUGACUGCACUAACCUUAAAGUAAAUGAACCCCGGUCCAGGAGCUGCAUGAUCAAAUGCUGUUACAGAAUAAUUUAGUCCAACAGGAUAUUUCAGUAAUGAAAUAAAAGCUUAU
Molecule: non-coding RNA, 434 nt
Organism: Pelodiscus sinensis (Chinese soft-shelled turtle)
Lineage: Eukaryota; Metazoa; Chordata; Testudines; Trionychidae
Source: RefSeq, a predicted model, not a curated record